This 272-nucleotide ribosomal RNA is filed under the name Escherichia coli. RNAcentral describes it as "partial 16S ribosomal RNA". It matches the Rfam family "Bacterial small subunit ribosomal RNA", at positions 1 to 269 of the family's 1533-position model. Lineage: Bacteria; Pseudomonadati; Pseudomonadota; Gammaproteobacteria; Enterobacterales; Enterobacteriaceae. RNAcentral also lists the same sequence under 9 other names. The record is from RNAcentral.
AAAUUGAAGAGUUUGAUCAUGGCUCAGAUUGAACGCUGGCGGCAGGCCUAACACAUGCAAGUCGAACGGUAACAGGAAGAAGCUUGCUUCUUUGCUGACGAGUGGCGGACGGGUGAGUAAUGUCUGGGAAACUGCCUGAUGGAGGGGGAUAACUACUGGAAACGGUAGCUAAUACCGCAUAACGUCGCAAGACCAAAGAGGGGGACCUUCGGGCCUCUUGCCAUCGGAUGUGCCCAGAUGGGAUUAGCUAGUAGGUGGGGUAACGGCUCACC